RNAcentral lists this long non-coding RNA (720 nucleotides) under Salmo salar (Atlantic salmon). RNAcentral describes it as "lncRNA (ENSSSAG00000109344.1)". The record is from RNAcentral. Lineage: Eukaryota; Metazoa; Chordata; Actinopteri; Salmoniformes; Salmonidae.
GAGGUGUGGUGUGUGUAUAGAGGUUUGGUGGGUGUAGAGCUGUAUAUAGAGGUGUGGUGGGUGUAGAGGUGUAUAGAGGUGUGGUGGGUGUAGAGGUGUAUAUAGGUGUGGUGGGUGUAGAGGUGUAUUGUGGUGUGGUGGGUGUAGAGGUGUAUUGUGGUGUGGUGGGUGUAGAGGUGUAUUGUGGUGUGGAGGGUGUAGAGGUGUAUUGUGGUGUGGUGGGUGUAGAGGUGUAUUGUGGUGUGGUGGGUUUAGAGCUGUAUAUAGAGGUGUGGUGGUGUAGAGCUGUAUAUAGAGGUGUGGUGGGUGUAUAGAGGUGUAUAGAGGUGUGGUGGGUGUAGAGCUGUAUAUAGAGGUGUGGUGGGUGUAGAGCUGUAUAUAGAGGUGUGGUGGGUGUAGAGCUGUAUAUAGAGGUGUGGUGUGUGUAUAGAGGUUUGGUGGGUGUAGAGCUGUAUAUAGAGGUGUGGUGGGUGUAGAGGUGUAUAGAGGUGUGGUGGGUGUAGAGCUGUAUAUAGAGGUGUGGUGUGUGUAUAGAGGUUUGGUGGGUGUAGAGCUGUAUAUAGAGGUGUGGUGGGUGUAGAGGUGUAUUGUGGUGUGGUGGGUGUAGAGGUGUAUUGUGGUGUGGUGGGUGUAGAGCUGUAUAGAGGUGUGGUGGGUGUAGAGAGGUGUGGUGGGUGUAGAGGUGUAUUGUGGUGUGGUGGGUGUAGAGGUGUAUUGUGG